This is a long non-coding RNA of Equus caballus (horse), 2012 nucleotides long. Lineage: Eukaryota; Metazoa; Chordata; Mammalia; Perissodactyla; Equidae. The record is from Ensembl.
ACCUUGCUCCCACCUUUUCUCUCUAAAACAUCUCCCUGAGCUUCUGUCCGCGGAGCAUGCCUUACCACUUCUGGUUCGGCGUUGCCCGAUUGCAAUCAAUUUUUGCUCAAAUAAACUCUUAAAAUGUUUAAUAUGCCUCAAUUAUAUCUUUUAACAGUUCUCCUGUCAGAAGAGGGAACCAAAGGAGACCCCCGACAGCCCCAGGAACAACAGCAAUGGAGCAUAGUUAUCAUAGGUGGAUGUUUCUGGUGACCAGGAUGAGACCUGCUGGGACACCCCACUCACUCCAGAGCCUGCAGACACCAUCCUGGAAAAACUCGCAGAAGUCAGCAAAGGAAUCACUAAGGACGAAGACUGCUCUUGAACUUCCUUGGAAGGGACCACACAAGGUCCUCCUCACUACCCAGACGGCAGCCAACCUUCAGGGUCUUAAACCUUAGGUUCACAUCCCUCAAUUAAAAAGGGCUCCUCCAGACUCUUGGAAGCGCACACCAGCUGGAGACCUAAAAUUAAAAUUGACUAGAGAGGUUCCUCCCCAGAAGCAGACGGCGUCUUGAGGUGGACAGCUCUCCCAAGAUCAUGGAUCAAGACCUUCAUCUUCAAUAUGAAACCUUUAUUCCUUUUGCCUUUCUGCUAUUUGUUUUUUUCUGUUAACGCAUGGGAAGACAGUGCUCCUUAACUCUGGCAACUAUCACUGAAUGUACUGCUAAAGGCCAUAGUUACAUAACAAAAGUCCCUCGACUUUCUUGCUAAGGUAGUUUUAGAUAAUAGAAUUGCUUUAAUUACUUCUAGCUGAACAUGGAGUCUGUGCCAUAGCAAAUAGCUCCUGCUGUACCUGGAUCAACACCUCUAGUAUUGUAGCAAAUACAGGAAAUUAACAAAAAAGCCACUUGGCUAAAACAGGUUGAUGCCUCUUCAGGUACAUUCUUUGAUUUAUUUGAUACCAAUUGGCUUGGUUCCUGGGGGCCCUAAGUCUGUUGGUGUUAUCCUCCUAAUAGUUGUCAUUGUAAUCUCCCUUGUGCACUAUGUUCUCUCAGAGAUCUUAAAUGCAUGUUCACAGCCAUCAGCAGUACAUCAGGUGGGCUCAUCGUGCCUGGACAAACAGAAACGAGAUGAACGGCAAAAAACAAUUCUUCCAUGGCUCUGACAUCAUAACCUAUGAGUUUCACAAUGAGACAAGAGCAACUUAACUCUGAUGGUGACUGAGAUUGGCACUAACAUCAAAUUUUUGGUCAAUCUCUCAUGUAUGAAAUGAUGACCAAAAGAGGGGAAUUGUUAAUUAAGCAAGGAGGCCAUUAGACUGAGGUGGCUCUAAUGCUGUGGUGGCCUAUGUAAACAAACCAAAAUCUAAGCCUCUAAAUGCCUCGAGGUUACAAAAUCAAAACUCUAAGGACCACCAAUCACAAACAGCCAACCAGACUUGAAGCUAUAGUCAAUCAAUAAUUUCCUUACUUCUGCCUCUUCUCUAUAAAAGUCUGCCUGAGCUCCUGACAGUGAAGCACUCCUAGCCACCUCGUUUGGCACUGCCAGAUUCCAACAGAUGUUUGCUCAAAUAAACUCAAAAAUUUUAAUACACUUUAGUUUAUUGUUUAACAAGUGACUUCCUCUCUGGAGCUUUUUAUGACACUCUCCCUCCUCCUCGGGGGAUGUAAGCACUUGUGUCUGCUCUCUUCUAAACCGGCUUUAUCAGAGCACGUAUGAGGCUUGCACUUGCUUGCAUGCUCCUCUGCCCCUCCUGAAAUGUGUCCUCUUUGAGGCCGGGGACAAUAUCUGUAUUCUAUUCUGUGUGUUUAGCAUCUAGCACACAGGAGGCUCAAUAAAUAUUUGUUGAAUGAAUGAAUGGGGGAGGAGAAAUGAUCCAGAAAUGCCUAAUAUUAAUAACAAGCAUUUACCCAGGACUAAUUAUACGGCAGGCAUUACACAAAGGCAUGUAUGCUGAAUGGACUGAUUUAUUCCUAAGACAGCCCUAUGAAGUAGGAGCCACUAUUAUCUUCACUUUAAAUUUAAGAAAA